RNAcentral lists this ribosomal RNA (840 nucleotides) under Geobacillus vulcani. RNAcentral describes it as "bacterial SSU rRNA". It matches the Rfam family "Bacterial small subunit ribosomal RNA", at positions 47 to 868 of the family's 1533-position model. The record is from RNAcentral. Lineage: Bacteria; Bacillati; Bacillota; Bacilli; Caryophanales; Anoxybacillaceae.
UCUAUAAUGCAGUCGAGCGGACCGGACCGGAGCUUGCUCUGGUUUGGUCAGCGGCGGACGGGUGAGUAACACGUGGGCAACCUGCCCGCAAGACCGGGAUAACUCCGGGAAACCGGAGCUAAUACCGGAUAACACCGAAGACCGCAUGGUCUUUGGUUGAAAGGCGGCCUUUGGCUGUCACUUGCGGAUGGGCCCGCGGCGCAUUAGCUAGUUGGUGAGGUAACGGCUCACCAAGGCGACGAUGCGUAGCCGGCCUGAGAGGGUGACCGGCCACACUGGGACUGAGACACGGCCCAGACUCCUACGGGAGGCAGCAGUAGGGAAUCUUCCGCAAUGGGCGAAAGCCUGACGGAGCGACGCCGCGUGAGCGAAGAAGGCCUUCGGGUCGUAAAGCUCUGUUGUGAGGGACGAAGGAGCGCCGUUCGAAGAGGGCGGCGCGGUGACGGUACCUCACGAGGAAGCCCCGGCUAACUACGUGCCAGCAGCCGCGGUAAUACGUAGGGGGCGAGCGUUGUCCGGAAUUAUUGGGCGUAAAGCGCGCGCAGGCGGUUCCUUAAGUCUGAUGUGAAAGCCCACGGCUCAACCGUGGAGGGUCAUUGGAAACUGGGGGACUUGAGUGCAGGAGAGGAGAGCGGAAUUCCACGUGUAGCGGUGAAAUGCGUAGAGAUGUGGAGGAACACCAGUGGCGAAGGCGGCUCUCUGGCCUGCAACUGACGCUGAGGCGCGAAAGCGUGCGGAGCAAACAGGAUUAGAUACCCUGGUAGUCCACGCCGUAAACGAUGAGUGCUAAGUGUUAGAGGGGUCACACCCUUUAGUGCUGCAGCUAACGCGAUAAGCACU